This 146-nucleotide unclassified non-coding RNA is filed under the name soil metagenome. RNAcentral describes it as "partial internal transcribed spacer 1". The record is from RNAcentral.
CCGAGUUUACAACUCCCAAACCUCUGUGAACAUACCACUUGUUGCCUCGGCGGAUCAGCCCGCUCCCGGUAAACGGGACGGCCCGCCAGAGGACCCCUAAACUCUGUUUCUAUAUGUAACUUCUGAGUAAAACCAUAAAUAAAUCA